Molecule: ribosomal RNA, 252 nt
Filed under: uncultured bacterium
Lineage: Bacteria
Description: partial 16S ribosomal RNA
Rfam family: Bacterial small subunit ribosomal RNA
Source: RNAcentral
UACAGAGGGGGCAAGCGUUGUUCGGAAUUACUGGGCGUAAAGGGCGCGUAGGCGGCCUUCUAAGUCGAACGUGAAAUCCCCGGGCUCAACCCGGGAACUGCGUCCGAUACUGGAAGGCUUGAAUCCGGGAGAGGGAUGCGGAAUUCCAGGUGUAGCGGUGAAAUGCGUAGAUAUCUGGAGGAACACCGGUGGCGAAGGCGGCAUCCUGGACCGGCAUUGACGCUGAGGCGCGAAGGCCAGGGAGCAAACGGG